AAUUAGAUCCCCAAAAGAGAAAUCCCACAUCCCUAAUUCUCGCCGCCUUCCACCUCCGCCGGACUCCCGCCGGACGUCGCUCCCGUUCACACCAUUGCCGUCGCCGGUUCGGACAGCAGCCGUCCCAGCCGUGUGCUUCCGUCGCUGUUGUGGGAUCGCUAGACCCGCCGUCGCUGCUGUGGAAUCGCCGGGUCAGCCUUCGCCGCUGCUGUUGCGUCGAGCGGCUCGUCAGUGCCGGCCGUUCGACGGGUCAGGUUGCUGUCCGGCAGAGGCUUGAUUCACUCUGGAACAGCUCCGACACCCAUCCGAACAGCCCCGAAACAUUCCGAAAGAUAAGUUCUCUUUACGAAAUUAUGUUCUUUCGAACUCUCGAGUAACUACAGCGGGUGCUCAAUUGGUGAUGUUCGAUUGGUGUUAAAAGGGUUGUUUGCUCGGUGCUAUUUGAUGGUUUAGUUAUGUGUGGGAGGAAGAUAGGUGGUGCUAUGUUGUGAGAAAAAGCAUAUGUUCAUGAUUUGAAAAAAAUAGUAGAAUUUAUACUCCUUGGAUUUGUUCACAGUGGUAAGGUUUCAUGUGGUUUUUUGUCACUGAUGGCUCAAAUUUGUUAUCCUACAGUAGAUGUCCUUCUUCUCAGUCCCUUGCAGCACCUUUAACCGAUUUUGGUGGUGAUUCGCAGGUGCACAAGGUGGAGCAGAGGUUGUUGGAGCUGGGGUGCAGGGUUGCUGCAGCCAUGCUACAGUUUUCUCCCUUUUUCUGGCUCGUGGCAGCCUUUGAUUAUGGCUGGGGAGUGUAGGAGGAGUGCUGCCAUCUUGCCUUGCUUAUUUUGGCAAGUAUUUUUGGUUUUCAACAAAAGAGAUGUACAAGAAGUAGUUGGCUGGAAAACGGACCUCCCGCGGGCCCUCGGCCCGACGGCCGAUCGGACGUAAGGUCGCGGUGUGGCGUGGUUUGGCUCGGGGAAAGAAUAGAUUCAAGACGUUUUCCUCCUUGACAUUCUUAUGUAUUAUUUUCUUUCAUUCUUGUUAUUAUAUAUAUAUUUUUUUGUAAUCUAGAACAUAGCUUGAAAUUUAAUACGUUCGUAUUUUAUUUACUUAAGGAAUAAAUGGACACAUUUUCAUUCUUCAA
This is a long non-coding RNA of Salvia splendens (bonfire salvia), 1119 nucleotides long. RefSeq lists it as uncharacterized. NCBI's taxonomy places the organism in Eukaryota, Viridiplantae, Streptophyta, Magnoliopsida, Lamiales, Lamiaceae. The transcript is spliced from 2 exons. The record is from RefSeq and is a predicted model, not a curated record.